GAUCACACCACUGCACUCCAGCCUGGGUGACAGAGCAAGACUCUUGUCUGAAAAAAGAAAAAAAAAAGGUCUUCUCCUCACUGUCAAAGCUGGGUGCCAGGCACAGGAGGAGGUUCAUUACUCUCUCUUCUUCUGUGUGCGUUUGAAAUUGUCCAUUUAAAACAUGAAUCAGUGUUCUACAGAAAUCAGAAGUACUUGUUUUCACAAAUCAGUAUUCUUUCUUAAAUUAGAAUUUAAACUUGUUUUAUUACUAACCAACUGCUUCGGCUGAGCCCUGCACUGUGCUUACUUUCUGUUAAUGACAAGUGCAUCUUCGUUUUGUAGCUGGAAGCUCAGCUCAAGGACGCUGUUCCUGAAGCCUGAGAGGACUGCAGACUUCAUGAGCACAUCGCAGACUUCAAGCAAACAGAAAGUGAGCCUGAAGCCCUCGAGGUGGUGCUGGGUGCCUAAGACAAAGCCAAUUCACUGAUUGAUGUGGACUAGAUGGAAAGCCACAGUUACGCCUCUCAGUGCCUGUCUCAGCUGAAACAGGGCUAAGCUCACACCGUUCAAAGCCAGCUGAAGGCCUGAUUUUCACUGGUGACCAUACCAGAUAUGACCAUGGAGCAGGGAAGAAAGCGAAUGUGCCUGGCGACUCCUCUUCUGGAAGCUCUCUGGGACAUCAGUCCUCUUGGCCACUAUCAAGGUUUGGGGGCAGCUUAGACUGAAAACCGUGGUGACCCAUUAGCAGGCAACUUUCCUUCAAGAACACAUUAUUUUUCUUUCCUUUAUUGAAUUACUGGCUUCAUUAUUUUGGGGUUUAUUUGGGAGAGGAAAUUUCUAUCUUCCUUGAAUUAAAACCUGUGGUUAGACAUGGUUCUUUUGUACGUUUGCCAUUUGGUAAGGUUUUGAAGAAGGGAAAGGAUGAUGGAAAUGAAAAUGAUGAGGAUAAAAUUACCAGUUGGUUUAAUUCUCCGUAAAUAUUUUCUAGUUCUAGUUUCAGAUGAAAGUAUUUAAUCAAUGGGUCUUUAAAACCAUAUGAUCGUACUGUGAGAACUUUGAGAGAAUGUUAUCAUAGAAAUGAGGAAUGUCACCACUAAGAAUCAUUUUUCCCUUUUCCCACUAAAAUUAAAACAUAGGAGCACAGGGCUUGAAUGGACAGUAAACGUUGGCAUUUGUUUUGCAUUAUCUCCCCAAAAUCUAAACAGGAAAGCUACUUCUCUUAUUAAUCAAAUAAUCUUAAUAAAAUAUAUUGACCUAGUUUAUGAUAUGGAGUGUCAAUCUGAGUGUCCCAGCUGCUCUUCAUUGCUGGUGGGUUGAGUGUUCCCCUUAAAUAACACAUUUCUGUUGGGUGAUGCUAAUGAUUCUAGAUAAUGUUUCUUAAUAAAAUUAUUACAACAAUCA
Non-coding RNA from Macaca mulatta (Rhesus monkey), 1383 nucleotides. The record is from RefSeq and is a predicted model, not a curated record. NCBI's taxonomy places the organism in Eukaryota, Metazoa, Chordata, Mammalia, Primates, Cercopithecidae.